This 520-nucleotide ribosomal RNA is filed under the name uncultured Glomus. Its description in RNAcentral is "SSU rRNA". It matches the Rfam family "Eukaryotic small subunit ribosomal RNA", at positions 569 to 1091 of the family's 1831-position model. Lineage: Eukaryota; Fungi; Glomeromycota; Glomeromycetes; Glomerales; Glomeraceae. The record is from RNAcentral.
AGCAGCCGCGGUAAUUCCAGCUCCAAUAGCGUAUAUUAAAGUUGUUGCAGUUAAAAAGCUCGUAGUUGAAUUUCGGGGUUAGUAGGUUGGUCAUGCCUCUGGUAUGUACUGGUCUCACUGAUUCCUCCUUCCUGAUGAACCUUAAUGCCAUUAAUUUGGUGUUUUGGGGAAUUUGGACUGUUACUUUGAAAAAAUUGAGUGUUUAAAGCAAGCUAACGCUUGAAUACAUUAGCAUGGAAUAAUGAAAUAGGACGUUCGAUCCUAUUUUGUUGGUUUCUAGGAUUGACGUAAUGAUUAAUAGGGAUAGUUGGGGGCAUUAGUAUUCAAUUGUCAGAGGUGAAAUUCUUGGAUUUAUUGAAGACUAACUACUGCGAAAGCAUUUGCCAAGGAUGUUUUCAUUAAUCAAGAACGAAAGUUAGGGGAUCGAAGACGAUCAGAUACCGUCGUAGUCUUAACCAUAAACUAUGCCGACUAGGGAUCGGAUGAUGUUAAUUUUUUAAUGACUCAUUCGGCGCCUUAC